This 595-nucleotide ribosomal RNA is filed under the name uncultured archaeon. Its description in RNAcentral is "bacterial SSU rRNA". It matches the Rfam family "Archaeal small subunit ribosomal RNA", at positions 863 to 1458 of the family's 1478-position model. The record is from RNAcentral.
AAUUGGCGGGGGAGCAUUACAACGGGUGGAGCCUGCGGUUUAAUUGGAUUCAACGCCGGAAAUCUCACCGGGGGCGACAGCAUGAUGAAGGCCAGGCUGAAGACCUUGCCUGAUCCGCUGAGAGGUGGUGCAUGGCCGUCGUCAGUUCGUACUGUGAAGCAUCCUGUUAAGUCAGGCAACGAGCGAGACCCACGCCCACAGUUGCCAGCGAGCCCUUCGGGGUGGCGGGUACUCUGUGGGGACCGCCGCUGCUAAAGCGGAGGAAGGAAUGGGCAACGGUAGGUCAGUAUGCCCCGAAUCUCCCGGGCUACACGCGGGCUACAAUGGUCGGUACAAUGGGUAUCUACCCCGAGAGGGGAUGGAAAUCUCCUAAAACCGGUCGUAGUUCGGAUUGAGGGCUGCAACUCGCCCUCAUGAAGCUGGAAUCCGUAGUAAUCGCGUUUCAACAGAACGCGGUGAAUACGUCCCUGCUCCUUGCACACACCGCCCGUCAAACCACCCGAGUAGGGUCCGGAUGAGGGUGUAUUAUAUUGAUACAUUCGAAUCUGGGCUUUGCAAGGGGGGUUAAGUCGAAGCAAGGUAACCAAGGGCGAAU